CCCUUAGAUGUUCUGGGCUGCACGCGCGCUACACUGAAGCUAUCAACACGUUUUCCCUCCCUGAGAAGGGCGGGUAACCUUUUGAAUCAGCUUCGUGGUAGGGAUCGGGGCUUGCAAUUGUUCCCCGUGAACCAGGAAUUCCUAGUAGACGCGAGUCAUAAGCUCGCAUCGAUUAAGUCCCUGCCCAUUGUACACACCGCCCGUCGCUACUACCGAUUGAACGUUUUAGUGAGGCAUUUGGACCGACGCAUCUCAGUUUAACCGCUGGUUUGUGUUGGAAAGACUUCCAAACUUGAGCGUUUAGAGGAAGUAAAAGUCGUAACA
This 324-nucleotide ribosomal RNA is filed under the name uncultured eukaryote. RNAcentral's name for it is "partial 18S ribosomal RNA". It matches the Rfam family "Eukaryotic small subunit ribosomal RNA", at positions 1470 to 1796 of the family's 1831-position model. The record is from RNAcentral.